This 376-nucleotide transfer-messenger RNA is filed under the name Burkholderiales. RNAcentral describes it as "Ottowia sp001897615 Standard tmRNA". It matches the Rfam family "transfer-messenger RNA". Rfam says of the family: Bacterial tmRNA, also known as 10Sa RNA or SsrA, is named for its dual tRNA and mRNA-like properties. Its role is to liberate the mRNA from a stalled ribosome. To accomplish this part of the tmRNA is used as a reading frame that ends in a translation stop signal. RNAcentral also lists the same sequence under 2 other names. The record is from RNAcentral. Lineage: Bacteria; Pseudomonadati; Pseudomonadota; Betaproteobacteria.
GGGGCUGCAUUGGUUUCGACGUGGGUUGGAAUCGCCUCAGGGCAUGCCGAGGUUCAGUCACCUCGCUAAACCGCUGAAAAAAACUAACUGCAAACGACGAACGUUUCGCACUCGCCGCCUAAACACCGGUGAGCCUCGCAACAGCAGGCCGAUGGGCUGGGCAAGGGCGGCGCAAGCCGUCCCGGCUGCGAGGGAAUUCACAUCGGCUGGCUCGUGUCCGGGUGCCUUGGACGCGAGCGAGACUCAAGGGCACUGGCUACCGGCGUAGCGUGCGACUGCGCGACGCAGGUGGCGAGACUCAAAUCAGACCGCUAAGCAUGUAGAACUGGGCGUGGAAGAUUUGCGGACGGGGGUUCGAGUCCCCCCAGCUCCACCA